RNAcentral lists this ribosomal RNA (712 nucleotides) under Escherichia coli. RNAcentral's name for it is "partial 23S ribosomal RNA". It matches the Rfam family "Bacterial large subunit ribosomal RNA", at positions 528 to 1239 of the family's 2925-position model. Lineage: Bacteria; Pseudomonadati; Pseudomonadota; Gammaproteobacteria; Enterobacterales; Enterobacteriaceae. The record is from RNAcentral.
GGCGAGGGGAGUGAAAAAGAACCUGAAACCGUGUACGUACAAGCAGUGGGAGCACAGAGCAAUCUGUGUGACUGCGUACCUUUUGUAUAAUGGGUCAGCGACUUAUAUUCUGUAGCAAGGUUAACCGAAUAGGGGAGCCGAAGGGAAACCGAGUCUUAACUGGGCGUUAAGUUGCAGGGUAUAGACCCGAAACCCGGUGAUCUAGCCAUGGGCAGGUUGAAGGUUGGGUAACACUAACUGGAGGACCGAACCGACUAAUGUUGAAAAAUUAGCGGAUGACUUGUGGCUGGGGGUGAAAGGCCAAUCAAACCGGGAGAUAGCUGGUUCUCCCCGAAAGCUAUUUAGGUAGCGCCUCGUGAAUUCAUCUCCGGGGGUAGAGCACUGUUUCGGCAAGGGGGUCAUCCCGACUUACCAACCCGAUGCAAACUGCGAAUACCGGAGAAUGUUAUCACGGGAGACACACGGCGGGUGCUAACGUCCGUCGUGAAGAGGGAAACAACCCAGACCGCCAGCUAAGGUCCCAAAGUCAUGGUUAAGUGGGAAACGAUGUGGGAAGGCCCAGACAGCCAGGAUGUUGGCUUAGAAGCAGCCAUCAUUUAAAGAAAGCGUAAUAGCUCACUGGUCGAGUCGGCCUGCGCGGAAGAUGUAACGGGGCUAAACCAUGCACCGAAGCUGCGGCAGCGACACUGUGUGUUGUUGGGUAGGGGAGCGU